Molecule: ribosomal RNA, 464 nt
Filed under: rape rhizosphere bacterium tsb016
Lineage: Bacteria
Description: bacterial SSU rRNA
Rfam family: Bacterial small subunit ribosomal RNA
Source: RNAcentral
AGAUUGAACGCUGGCGGCAGGCCAUAACACAUGCAAGCUCGGACGGUAGCACAGAGGAGCUUGCUCCUUGGGUGACGAGUGGCGGACGGSUGAGUAAUGUCUGGGGAUCUGCCCGAUAGAGGGGGAUAACCACUGGAAACGGUGGCUAAUACCGCAUAACGUCGCAAGACCAAAGAGGGGGACCUUCGGGCCUCUCACUAUCGGAUGAACCCAGAUGGGAUUAGCUAGUAGGCGGGGUAAUGGCCCACCUAGGCGACGAUCCCUAGCUGGUCUGAGAGGAUGACCAGCCACACUGGAACUGAGACACGGUCCAGACUCCUACGGGAGGCAGCAGUGGGGAAUAUUGCACAAUGGGCGCAAGCCUGAUGCAGCCAUGCCGCGUGUAUGAAGAAGGCCUUCGGGUUGUAAAGUACUUUCAGCGGGGAGGAAGGCGAUGCGGUUAAUAACCGUGUCGAUUGACGUUA